RNAcentral lists this transfer RNA (72 nucleotides) under Bartonella sp. N40. Its description in RNAcentral is "tRNA-Ala". It matches the Rfam family "tRNA". Rfam says of the family: Transfer RNA (tRNA) molecules are approximately 80 nucleotides in length. Their secondary structure includes four short double-helical elements and three loops (D, anti-codon, and T loops). The record is from RNAcentral. Lineage: Bacteria; Pseudomonadati; Pseudomonadota; Alphaproteobacteria; Hyphomicrobiales; Bartonellaceae.
GGGGCCGUAGCUCAGCUGGGAGAGCACCUGCUUUGCAAGCAGGGGGUCGUCGGUUCGAUCCCGUCCGGCUCC